CAGCCGCCGCGGUAAUACGGAGGGUGCAAGCGUUGUUCGGAUUUAUUGGGCGUAAAGCGCGUGUAGGCGGUUUCUUAAGUCUGAUGUGAAAGCCCUGGGCUCAACCCAGGAAGUGCAUUGGAUACUGGGAGACUUGAAUACGGGAGAGGGUAGUGGAAUUCCUAGUGUAGGAGUGAAAUCCGUAGAUAUUAGGAGGAACACCGGUGGCGAAGGCGGCUACCUGGACCGAUAUUGACGCUGAGACGCGAAAGCGUGGGGAGCAAACAGGAUUAGAUACCCUGGUAGUCCACGCCGUAAACGAUGAGAACUAGGUGUUGCGGGUAUUGACCCCUGCAGUGCCGCAGCUAACGCAUUAAGUUCUCCGCCUGGGAAGUACGGUCGCAAGACUAAAACUCAAAGGAAUUGACGGGG
This 411-nucleotide ribosomal RNA is filed under the name uncultured bacterium. RNAcentral's name for it is "bacterial SSU rRNA". It matches the Rfam family "Bacterial small subunit ribosomal RNA", at positions 509 to 918 of the family's 1533-position model. The record is from RNAcentral.